GACGAACGCUGGCGGCGUGCUUAACACAUGCAAGUCGAACGGAAAGGCCCUGCUUUUGUGGGGUGCUCGAGUGGCGAACGGGUGAGUAACACGUGAGUAACCUGCCCUUGACUUUGGGAUAACUUCAGGAAACUGGGGCUAAUACCGGAUAGGAGCUCCUGCUGCUUGGUGGGGGUUGGAAAGUUUCGGCGGUUGGGGAUGGACUCGCGGCUUAUCAGCUUGUUGGUGGGGUAGUGGCUUACCAAGGCUUUGACGGGUAGCCGGCCUGAGAGGGUGACCGGCCACAUUGGGACUGAGAUGCGGCCCAGACUCCUACGGGAGGCAGCGGUGGAGAAGAUUGCACAAUGGGCGGAAGCCUGAUGCAGCAACGCCGCGUGCGGGAUGACGGCCUUCGGGUUGUAAACCGCUUUCGCCUGUGACGAAGCGUGAGUGACGGUAAUGGGUAAAGAAGCACCGGCUAACUACGUG
Molecule: ribosomal RNA, 468 nt
Filed under: uncultured bacterium
Lineage: Bacteria
Description: partial 16S ribosomal RNA
Rfam family: Bacterial small subunit ribosomal RNA
Source: RNAcentral